Aphis gossypii (cotton aphid) is the source of this 3584-nucleotide RNA transcript. RefSeq lists it as uncharacterized. The record is from RefSeq and is a predicted model, not a curated record. The transcript is spliced from 6 exons. Lineage: Eukaryota; Metazoa; Arthropoda; Insecta; Hemiptera; Aphididae.
GAAAAGCUCGUCAAUGCCUAAAGCACGAAGACUUUGAAGAAUCUGGAAUGUUGGAGAUGAAUGGAGAAUAUGAUGAUAACCCAACUGUUUCAAUUCUAACUCUCUCAACACAGCAAGAAGUCACCGAAAAUGCUGAAAGAUAAUAAAAGAGAUAGAGGAGGAAAAACCACCAUUUAAUGUGAACAAAUUUUUAGAAGAACAAAAGGAAAAAGCGGGCAAGUGAGUACCGCUCUGCUGUACAUUAGGUGCCGUAUGGAUCAUUAUUAUAUAUUAUAGGAGUGUUAAAUUUGAAUCCAAUGAUAGUUAUCAUUGUAUACGAAAAACGAUUCUGAACGAAGAUGAUUUGUCAGCCUAGGAUAUAAUUUCUAGUGGUUGGUGAAAAAGGUGGUUUAUGUUUUAAUGGCCUGAAUACAACAAAAUUUAAGUUCUUUUAUAAUAAUUGGCCAAAAAAAUUUUAUCGACACUUCAAAAAAAAAUUUUCAGAAAAGUUGAAAAUUUCAGUUGUCUAUUAAUAGCUCAAAAAAACUCAAAAUAUUUUGAAAAUUAAAUCAUGUAAAGAAAAUGCCAAUCUAAAUAACUGGUAAAAUUUUCAAGUAUCUACGACUUAUACUUUUUGAAUAAUAACAAAUAUCAAAAAUCGUUUGAGGCUAAACCGUUAUUUAACGCGGUUUUGUAAAAAUUUAAAUUUCAAACACUCAUAAAAAUUUUUUGUCUGAAUCCGGUAGAGUUUUUUUUACAGAUAUUUGAAGAAAAAUGUAUGGAGAACCUUGUACCAAAUUUUCAAAACUUAGUUAUAAAAGAAAAAAAUUUUAUGAUUUUUCAACUUCAAAAUUACUUGCAAAUUUUAGCGUUUUCGACAGAUUUCGUAAAAAUUUGAACUAUAAACGCUUAUAAAAAAAAAUUGUGACUAACGAUUUUUAAUUUUUUUUAACUACAAUAAAAACAACUCAUAAGGAACCUUGUAUUAAAUUUUCAAAACUUUUUGGUCAUCCAAAAAUUUUUUAUCGACACUUAAAAAAAAAUUUCUCAAAAAAAACGAAAAUUUCAGUGAUCUAUAAAUAACUCAAAAAAAGUCAAAAUUUUUUGAAAAUUUAACUAUAUACAGAUACUACUGACAUUAACAUUUGGUAAAAAUUUCAAGUAUUUUCAGUGAUUAGUUUUUGAAUUACAACAAUAAAAAAAAAUCGAUUUGGUCGAAAACUGGUUUUGCGUAAAAAUUCCCGUUUUUCCGUCAUUUUUUUUUUUGUUUUUCUCGAUUUUUUUGAAAACUGUUGGAAAAUGUUAACUUUUUACCUCUAUAAUGCACCAAGGAUAUUCACUUUUACAUCGGAAACCACCCCCAUAGUUUGAAAUUGGAGCAUUAUUUCGACUAGUUAUGCUGUACACAGACACAAAAAAAAAACAUACAUCAUUGUAAAAUCAAUACAUUCUUCACUCCGUUCAGAAUCUAAUAUUAUAUUUAUAAUAACGAUCGAAAUGUAAUUGAAGAAAUUAUGGAACAUCUAUUAAAUGAAAAUAAAAAUCUUUGUUGCGCUAUGCAAAAAUUUAAAAAAAGCAUAAAAGAUAUUCCUAAUGAUAAUUAUAAUGAUUAUGAAAACGAAGAAAUUGACAUAGAACAAAAAUUCAUAAACUCAGACAUUGAUUCACUGUUUACAGUUAAAAAACGUAAAUUCGAUGUAAGUCAUACAGUAGAAAUUACUUAAUUAAUAUGGUCAAAAUUCGAAAAUAAUAUUCUUAAGGGGAUUGGAAGCGUUGAUUUUCUGUCUUUGUCUUACACACGUGGAAUAUAGGAAAAAUAGCUAUACGCGCCUGACAAAAAUUAAGGUAGGUACUUCUAGUUGUUCGAUUUAAAAUAUGUAAAGAUAAUUGAAUUGGCAUACAAGUUUACUUUGCAUCAGUUGAAGUAUAUUUUUAAUAUUUUCAAUAUAUAUUUAAUAAUAAAAAUUGACAAAUUUAUUAAAUUUAAAAUAUUUAUUCUCAUCAAAAUAUUUAUUUUAAACAAUAAAACAAUCGAUAAAGUGCUUCGACCGAUGCAAAGUAAACUUGUAUACCAAUUCAAUCAUCUUUACCAUUUGAAUAUGCCGUAGUCACGAUAGACAUAGGUAGCUUAUAAUUAUAAAUAAUAAUGAAAUAUGAAAUAGAUCUUACCUUUUUAUUCACAUCGGCCAUAGUAUUCGAAAAUGUAAUUGUUUAUGCGAUUAUUUAAUCGUAAUAACUAAGAACUAUAGGUAAUGACGAUUCAAAACACUUUAAAGUUUAAAUAAAACAAUUAAACAAAUCGACGUCGUAGUUUACAGUUUUAUUCGCACCAGUUAAGACUAACCACAGUUUAACGUAAUAAAAUAUAAAACAAAUAUUAAGUAAUUAGGUAAAAUGAUGGUGGAGACAGCGAAAAACCAAGACUGCGAGAGUCAGAGUGGCAACUGGCAAGACCCAUAGACAACACUAUUAAAAAUGGCGAGACCGCGGACUAUACAUAGAGUAAUACUAUAUGUAUAGUAUAUUACUCUAUGGGACUAUAGGAUAGCAUCACGAACUACUACUACUAUGUAGUAGUUCGUGGAUAGCAUCAUUGAAUAUAAAGUCAAUGGAUAGCAUGCAAUGACACUAUGACAAGUAUGACAGAAUAAUAUGACGAUGCCGCCCGCCAGUCACUGAGAGCCGCUGUAUUCCAUGAAUUACGUGUGUACUAAUAUUUAUUUUUAGAUAUAAAGGUCCCCACACACUGCAGCGGUGGCGGUAAAAUUCUAUUGUCUCGGCGGUGGCGGUAAAAUUGUGUCCAGACUUAUCUUAACGCUACCGCCACCGCCACCGCUAUCGCUGCAGUGUGUGGGCACCUUAAUACGAUCAAAAAUUACCCAUCGUUAUCGGAUCGGCUGGAACUCGUGUUUUUCUGAAAUAUUCCCGUGACAAUAUAGGGAAGCCGGAAGCAUUCAAGCAUUAUACAUAUUAUACUAAGCAACGUUUUUAUAAAACCAUAAAUUUAGGUCUGCGGGGAAUGUUUCAAUGUAAUGUUUACAUUGGAACUUAAAAUGUAUAGAACUCAUGUUUUUCUGGAACAUUACAAAUACUUUCAGUGAAUGUACCAUUCUUAUGUUAAAAUUGGAACUUAAAAUGUAUAUUCCUGUAAUGUUUGUAACAGUUUUUUGCACGGUAGGUAUGUAUCUUGUACCUAUGUAAAUGAUACUGAUAUUUUUAAAUUAAAAUACGUCAUAUUCUUAUAUAAUAUACAUGUAACCUGUUCAGUGUUCACUGUUCAAUAUUAAAGUUACUAUUUAAUGUAGUUAUUAGUUGAUAGUAUUCGAUAUUGUCCUGGAUAGGGUAAUAAAAGGCACACUCAUCACUCAUCAUCAGUACCAUGGCGUCGCGUCGGUGACAAAAUUGAUCAAUAUCGCGAUACAACUUAUAAUAUACGACAACUAAUUGCCACAUUAGUAAUUAGUUCUAGUAUCAAAUUGUUAAAUGUUUUUAUAUGUUUCAAUAAAAUUAAUAUUAUUCUGCUUAUUUUUUUUUUUACUUCAAAUUAAUAACUAGCGACUAGCCAAAACAAUACUUACAAGUAAAUUGAGUUUAUAUAGUGAAGU